AACGAACGCUGGCGGCAUGCCUAACACAUGCAAGUCGAACGAGACCUUCGGGUCUAGUGGCGCACGGGUGCGUAACGCGUGGGAACCUGCCCUUAGGUUCGGAAUAACUCCCCGAAAGGGGUGCUAAUACCGGAUAAUGUCUUCGGACCAAAGAUUUAUCGCCUUUGGAUGGGCCCGCGUUGGAUUAGCUAGUUGGUAGGGUAAAAGCCUACCAAGGCGACGAUCCAUAGCUGGUCUGAGAGGAUGAUCAGCCACACUGGGACUGAGACACAGCCCAGACUCCUACGGGAGGCAGCAGUGGGGAAUAUUGGACAAUGGGCAAAAGCCUGAUCCAGCAAUGCCGCGUGAGUGAUGAAGGCCUUAGGGUUGUAAAGCUCUUUUACCCGGGAUGAUAAUGACAGUACCGGGAGAAUAAGCUCCGGCUAACUCCGUG
Molecule: ribosomal RNA, 433 nt
Filed under: uncultured bacterium
Lineage: Bacteria
Description: partial 16S ribosomal RNA
Rfam family: Bacterial small subunit ribosomal RNA
Source: RNAcentral